This 491-nucleotide ribosomal RNA is filed under the name uncultured bacterium. Its description in RNAcentral is "partial 16S ribosomal RNA". It matches the Rfam family "Bacterial small subunit ribosomal RNA", at positions 28 to 507 of the family's 1533-position model. The record is from RNAcentral.
GAUGAACGCUGGCUACAGGCUUAACACAUGCAAGUCGAGGGGAAACGACGGGGAAGCUUGCUUCCCCGGGCGUCGACCGGCGCACGGGUGAGUAACGCGUAUCCAACCUGCCUCUGACUGAGGGAUAACCCGUCGAAAGUCGGCCUAAUACCUCAUGGCAUCGUCUGCGGGCAUCCAACGACGAUUAAAGAUUUCAUCGGUCAGAGAUGGGGAUGCGUCUGAUUAGCUUGUUGGCGGGGUAACGGCCCACCAAGGCGACGAUCAGUAGGGGUUCUGAGAGGAAGGUCCCCCACAUUGGAACUGAGACACGGUCCAAACUCCUACGGGAGGCAGCAGUGAGGAAUAGUGGUCAAUGGGCGAGAGCCUGAACCAGCCAAGUAGCGUGCAGGAUGACGGCCCUAUGGGUUGUAAACUGCUUUUAUGCGGGGAUAAAGUGAGGGACGUGUCCUUCACUGCAGGUACCGCAUGAAUAAGGACCGGCUAAUUCCGUG